CGUAGGGGGCAAGCGUUGUCCGGAAUCAUUGGGCGUAAAGCGCGUGUAGGCGGUCCGGUAAGUCCGCUGUGAAAGUCGGGGGCUUAACCCUCGGAUGCCGGUGGAUACUGUCGGGCUUGAGUACGGAAGAGGCGAGUGGAAUUCCUGGUGUAGCGGUGAAAUGCGCAGAUAUCAGGAGGAACACCAAUUGCGAAGGCAGCUCGCUGGGACGUUACUGACGCUGAGACGCGAAAGCGUGGGGAGCAAACAGGAUUAGAUACCCUGGUAGUCCACGCUGUAAACGAUGGGCACUAGGUGUGGGGGGUGUCGACUCCCUCCGUGCCGAAGCUAACGCAUUAAGUGCCCCGCCUGGGGAGUACGGCCGCAAGGCUA
RNAcentral lists this ribosomal RNA (372 nucleotides) under uncultured organism. RNAcentral describes it as "bacterial SSU rRNA". It matches the Rfam family "Bacterial small subunit ribosomal RNA", at positions 526 to 896 of the family's 1533-position model. The record is from RNAcentral.